This 622-nucleotide ribosomal RNA is filed under the name Dixus capito. Its description in RNAcentral is "SSU rRNA". It matches the Rfam family "Eukaryotic small subunit ribosomal RNA", at positions 13 to 602 of the family's 1831-position model. Lineage: Eukaryota; Metazoa; Arthropoda; Insecta; Coleoptera; Carabidae. The record is from RNAcentral.
CCUGCCAGUAGUCAUAUGCUUGUCUCAAAGAUUAAGCCAUGCAUGUCUAAGUACAAACUAUAUUAAAGUGAAACCGCGAAAGGCUCAUUAAAUCAGUUAUGGUUCCUUAGAUCGUACCACAAUUACUUGGAUAACUGUGGUAAUUCUAGAGCUAAUACAUGCAAACAGAGCUCUGACCGGAGACGGAAGGAGUGCUUUUAUUAGAUCAAAACCAAUCGGCGUCAGUAGCAUUUCGGUGUUAUUGUUCGUCGCUCAAUAUAUGGUGAAUCUGAAUAACUUUAUGCUGAUCGCAUGGUCUUGUACCGGCGACGCAUCUUUCAAAUGUCUGCCUUAUCAACUGUCGAUGGUAGGAUCUGCGCCUACCAUGGUUGUAACGGGUAACGGGGAAUCAGGGUUCGAUUCCGGAGAGGGAGCCUGAGAAACGGCUACCACAUCCAAGGAAGGCAGCAGGCGCGCAAAUUACCCACUCCCGGCACGGGGAGGUAGUGACGAAAAAUAACGAUACGGGACUCAUCCGAGGCCCCGUAAUCGGAAUGAGUACACUUUAAAUCCUUUAACGAGGACCAAUUGGAGGGCAAGUCUGGUGCCAGCAGCCGCGGUAAUUCCAGCUCCAAUAGCGUAU